UUGCCAGACUCCUACGGGAGGCAGCAGUGAGGAAUAUUGGUCAAUGGCCGGAAGGCUGGACCAGCCAAGCCACGUGAAGGAAGAAGGCGCCAGGCGUCGUAAACUUCUUUUGUCGGGGAACAAAGGGCGCCACGCGUGGCGUUGUGAGUGUACCCGAAGAAAAAGCAUCGGCUAACUCCGUGCCAGCAGCCGCGGUAAUACGGAGGAUGCGAGCGUUAUCCGGAUUUAUUGGGUUUAAAGGGUGCGUAGGCGGGCUGUUAAGUCAGCGGUGAAAGGUCGGGGCUCAACCCCGGCCUGCCGUUGAAACUGGCGGCCUCGAGUGGGCGAGAAGUAUGCGGAAUGCGUGGUGUAGCGGUGAAAUGCAUAGAUAUCACGCAGAACUCCGAUUGCGAAGGCAGCAUACCGGGGCCCUACUGACGCUGAGGCACGAAAGCGUGGGUAUCGAACAGGAUUAGAUACCCUCGUAA
RNAcentral lists this ribosomal RNA (467 nucleotides) under uncultured bacterium. RNAcentral describes it as "bacterial SSU rRNA". It matches the Rfam family "Bacterial small subunit ribosomal RNA", at positions 328 to 793 of the family's 1533-position model. The record is from RNAcentral.